AGCGCGAAACGGCAAACCCGGCGAAAGCCGGCGACGCAAAGCCACGAGGCUACCGCACGCUCCGCGCGUGCCACGCCAGUCGGGCUGCCGAA
RNAcentral lists this non-coding RNA (92 nucleotides) under Gemmatimonadota bacterium. RNAcentral's name for it is "Gemmatimonadetes bacterium c-di-GMP sequence". It matches the Rfam family "c-di-GMP-I riboswitch aptamer". Rfam says of the family: GEMM was predicted in a large-scale screen for bacterial structured RNA regulatory elements. Genes associated with GEMM are involved in a diverse array of functions, including chemotaxis regulation, signal transduction, secretion and chitin. Lineage: Bacteria; Pseudomonadati; Gemmatimonadota. The record is from RNAcentral.